RNAcentral lists this ribosomal RNA (630 nucleotides) under Bacillus sp. (in: firmicutes). RNAcentral's name for it is "bacterial SSU rRNA". It matches the Rfam family "Bacterial small subunit ribosomal RNA", at positions 51 to 662 of the family's 1533-position model. Lineage: Bacteria; Bacillati; Bacillota; Bacilli; Caryophanales; Bacillaceae. The record is from RNAcentral.
AUACAUGCAAGUCGAGCGGACUGAUGGGAGCUUGCUCCCUGAAGUCAGCGGCGGACGGGUGAGUAACACGUGGGUAACCUGCCUGUAAGACUGGGAUAACUCCGGGAAACCGGGGCUAAUACCGGAUAGUUCUUUUCCUCACAUGAGGAAAAGUGGAAAGGUGGCUUUUAGCUACCACUUACAGAUGGACCCGCGGCGCAUUAGCUAGUUGGUGAGGUAACGGCUCACCAAGGCGACGAUGCGUAGCCGACCUGAGAGGGUGAUCGGCCACACUGGGACUGAGACACGGCCCAGACUCCUACGGGAGGCAGCAGUAGGGAAUCUUCCGCAAUGGACGAAAGUCUGACGGAGCAACGCCGCGUGAGUGAUGAAGGUUUUCGGAUCGUAAAGCUCUGUUGUUAGGGAAGAACAAGUGCCGUUCGAAUAGGGCGGCACCUUGACGGUACCUAACCAGAAAGCCACGGCUAACUACGUGCCAGCAGCCGCGGUAAUACGUAGGUGGCAAGCGUUGUCCGGAAUUAUUGGGCGUAAAGCGCGCGCAGGCGGUCUCUUAAGUCUGAUGUGAAAGCCCACGGCUCAACCGUGGAGGGUCAUUGGAAACUGGGGGACUUGAGUACAGAAGAGGAAAGU